This 671-nucleotide long non-coding RNA is filed under the name Homo sapiens (human). RNAcentral describes it as "non-protein coding lnc-ETNK2-7:1". Lineage: Eukaryota; Metazoa; Chordata; Mammalia; Primates; Hominidae. The record is from RNAcentral.
UUUUUUCUCAUUUCGUUGAUUUCAGAGCAAUAAAAUUUCCCAUGGUGGGGGAAGUUUUACUUAAAACCAAUUACUAGUUCAAUCUACCAGGAAGAAAGCCUAAGGCCUUUCAAUGCUGCACUAUAUUUUUUUUAAUUAAAAAUAUCUUCUCUCUCAUUGGUAUAAGCAAAAUUUUCAAGUGCUAGCGCCACAGUUAUAGCUAUGAAAUCUUUAAUCUUCAUUUUAUCAAAAUUAUAUUGCCUCUGAGGAAUUUUCAGCCCUUGUGUGAUUUCAGGUUUCCCCAGAUGUGUUUAUAAAGAUAAUGAUUAUAUUUAACAACUACAGCUAUUAAGAUACAGUAACACAGCAAAAAGUUGCCCAUUUUAAAUGGAGAAAAAGAAAUUAAGGCAGUAUUUCUUUUUCACUGCUUUGAACAACUUCAUUCUGCUCAGGAUCCCAGCUCAGAACCAACGUAGAAUAAUCGUAGUUAACAUUUUUCAAGUUCAUUUUCAGAAACAUCAGUUGUUCUAUAUUGUCAAAGUCCAGGCUCAUGAUCUGUUUUGGAUGAAAGUGGCUAUUUUUAGUAAAGAUACAUUCAGAUUGCCAACUACACAUGGGGCAACUUAGAUACUGGAUGGCAACCUGGGUCAAAGCCGGCCAUAUGCUUAUCUUCCUCUGCCAGUAAAUUAAAG